This is a non-coding RNA of Cinara cedri, 311 nucleotides long. NCBI's taxonomy places the organism in Eukaryota, Metazoa, Arthropoda, Insecta, Hemiptera, Aphididae. The record is from the annotation of a GenBank genome assembly.
AUAAACAAACUGUUUGUCCGGAAUACUUUUUAAGAACUGCAAAAAUCGUUUUUAUCAUUAAUAACAUCAUGCUGCAAUAGAUAACUACAGAUAAGUCCAAUAGAUAUUUCAGUGAAUGUGUGGGAGAGGGCGUUAGAGUUCUAAAUUCUUCUACCCCUGACUGCGUUUUAAAGACGUCUCCUUUAACAUAUAAUUAUAAAAAAGUACGCUUAAGUAUUUUCGGAUUUACAAAUUGAUGAAUAACCUUUUCCUUUGUCAACUUAUUGUUCGAGACGACACUGUAUGGAGUGUUCUAUGAAAUAGGGGUAUCU